RNAcentral lists this ribosomal RNA (527 nucleotides) under uncultured bacterium. RNAcentral describes it as "bacterial SSU rRNA". It matches the Rfam family "Bacterial small subunit ribosomal RNA", at positions 20 to 518 of the family's 1533-position model. The record is from RNAcentral.
UGGCUCAGGACGAACGCUGGCGGCGUGCCUAAUACAUGCAAGUCGAACGGUCUUUCUAUGGAAGCUUGCUUCCACUGAGAAGAUAGUGGCGAACGGGUGAGUAACACGUGGGUAACCUGCCCAUAAGAGGGGGGAUAACAUCCGGAAACGGGUGCUAAUACCGCAUAGUUUUCUUGAUCGCAUGAUCGGGAAAGGAAAGACGGCCUUUGUGCUGUCGCUUAUGGAUGGACCCGCGGCGUAUUAGUUAGUUGGUGAGGUAACGGCUCACCAAGACGAUGAUACGUAGCCGACCUGAGAGGGUGAUCGGCCACAUUGGGACUGAGACACGGCCCAAACUCCUACGGGAGGCAGCAGUAGGGAAUCUUCCGCAAUGGACGAAAGUCUGACGGAGCAACGCCGCGUGAGUGAAAGAAGGUUUUCGGAUCGUAAAACUCUGUUGUCAGAGAAGAACAAGUUGGAGAGUAACUCGCUCCAGCCUUGACGGUAUCUGACCAGAAAGCCACGGCUAACUACGUGCCAGCCGCGGC